AUGUUCUAUCUGAAAUCCAGUGGUGCCUCCAGUGGUGAGGUGGUGGGUAUGCGUCGCCAUGAUCAUCUCAAGACGGUCUUCAUGAGCGGGUUUCGCUGUUACAGGGCUCAGACUGAGCUGGCAUGUUGUAUCCUGGGAAAUGCUUGUGUUCUUGAGCAGCUGACAAUAGAACCAAAGAUCACAAACACAAUAUGGGGUGGUGAUUGUUAUGCGUGGAAUAAAGGCCUCGAAAGAGUUUUACCGGGCGUCUGUGAAUGGGCACAGGUCAUCUCGGAGGGCUUCGGUAAGCAAAAUUUGCUGAUUACCCGGUUCGUUCAAUGUAUCGACAACACCCGAAAGACAAGGAGGAUGAGGGUGACCACAGCGGGCCAGUUCGUUGCUGGAUUUGCGCCGCCUGAUGAGAACACCAUUGGUGGGUAG
This 420-nucleotide ribosomal RNA is filed under the name Triticum aestivum (bread wheat). RNAcentral describes it as "partial small subunit ribosomal RNA". Lineage: Eukaryota; Viridiplantae; Streptophyta; Magnoliopsida; Poales; Poaceae. The record is from RNAcentral.